UGCGUAGGCGGCAUAGCAAGUUGGUUGUGAAAUCCUGCGGCUCAACCGUAGAACUGCCAUUGAUACUGCUAAUCUUGAGUAUAGUUGAGGUGGGCGGAAUGUGUAAUGUAGCGGUGAAAUGCAUAGAUAUUACACAGAACACCGAUUGCGAAGGCAGCUCACUAAGCUAUUACUGACGCUAAGGCACGAAAGCGUGGGGAGCGAACAGGAUUAGAUACCCUGGUAGUCC
This 229-nucleotide ribosomal RNA is filed under the name uncultured bacterium. RNAcentral's name for it is "partial 16S ribosomal RNA". It matches the Rfam family "Bacterial small subunit ribosomal RNA", at positions 568 to 796 of the family's 1533-position model. The record is from RNAcentral.